This is a ribosomal RNA of Clostridium colicanis DSM 13634, 996 nucleotides long. It matches the Rfam family "Bacterial large subunit ribosomal RNA", at positions 1148 to 2161 of the family's 2925-position model. The record is from Rfam. Lineage: Bacteria; Bacillati; Bacillota; Clostridia; Eubacteriales; Clostridiaceae.
GUCGAGAGAUCCUGCGCCGAAGAUGUCCGGGGCUAAAACUUACCACCGAAGCUAUGGAUGUGUCGUAAGACACGUGGUAGAGGAGCUUUCUAUACAGGUUGAAGCCAUACCGUAAGGAGUGGUGGACAGUAUAGAAGUGAGAAUGCUGGCAUAAGUAGCGAGAAACAGGUGAGAAUCCUGUUGGCCGAAUAUCUAAGGUUUCCUGGGGAAGGCUCGUCCUCCCAGGGUUAGUCGGGACCUAAGCCGAGGCCGAAAGGCGUAGGUGAUGGACAACUGGUUGAUAUUCCAGUACCACCACAAUGCGUUUGACAAAUGGGAUGACGCAGAAGGAUAGGAUGUGCGCACUACUGGAUGUGCGUCUAAGCACUUAGGAUGUUGAGUAGGCAAAUCCGCUCAACCCAAAGUCUGAGGUGUGAUGGGGAGCCAAUCUUUGGCGAAGUAUCUGAUUCCAUGCUGCCAAGAAAAGUCUCUAUGGAGCAAAGUGGUGCCCGUACCGCAAACCGACACAGGUAGAUGAGGAGAGAAUCCUAAGGCCGGCGGAAGAAUUGCUGCUAAGGAACUCGGCAAAUUGACCCCGUAAGUUCGCGAGAAGGGGUGCCUGCGAGAGCAGGCCGCAGUGACCAGGCCCAAGCAACUGUUUAUCAAAAACACAGGUCUCUGCUAAAGCGUAAGCUGAUGUAUAGGGGCUGACGCCUGCCCGGUGCUGGAAGGUUAAGGGGAAUAGUUAGCAUAUGCGAAGCUAUGAACUUAAGCCCCAGUAAACGGCGGCCGUAACUAUAACGGUCCUAAGGUAGCGAAAUUCCUUGUCGGGUAAGUUCCGACCCGCACGAAUGGCGUAAUGAUUUGGGCACUGUCUCGGCAGCAAAUCCGGUGAAAUUGUAGUGCAAGUGAAGAUGCUUGCUACCCGCGGUUGGACGGAAAGACCCCGUAGAGCUUUACUGUAGCUUAGCAUUGAAUUUCGGUAUUGUCUGUACAGGAUAGGUGGGAGACUUAGAA